AUUGAGCGCUGGCGGCAUGCCUUACACAUGCAAGUCGAACGGUAACAGGUCUUCGGAUGCUGACGAGUGGCGAACGGGUGAGUAAUACAUCGGAACGUGCCUAGUAGUGGGGGAUAACUACUCGAAAGAGUGGCUAAUACCGCAUGAGAUCUACGGAUGAAAGCAGGGGAUCGCAAGACCUUGUGCUACUAUAGCGGCCGAUGGAAGAUUAGGUAGUUGGUGGGAUAAAAGCUUACCAAGCCGACGAUCUGUAGCUGGUCUGAGAGGACGAUCAGCCACACUGGGACUGAGAAACGGCCCAGACUCCUACGGGAGGCAGCAGUGGGGAAUUUUGGACAAUGGGCGCAAGCCUGAUCCAGCAAUGCCGCGUGCAGGAUGAAGGCCUUCGGGUUGUAAACUGCUUUUGUACGGAACGAAAAGCCCCGGGUUAAUACCCUGGGGUCAUGACGGUACCGUAAGAAUAAGCACCGGCUAACUACGUGCCAGCCGCCGCCGUAA
Molecule: ribosomal RNA, 498 nt
Filed under: uncultured bacterium
Lineage: Bacteria
Description: partial 16S ribosomal RNA
Rfam family: Bacterial small subunit ribosomal RNA
Source: RNAcentral